RNAcentral lists this ribosomal RNA (564 nucleotides) under uncultured bacterium. RNAcentral's name for it is "bacterial SSU rRNA". It matches the Rfam family "Bacterial small subunit ribosomal RNA", at positions 922 to 1482 of the family's 1533-position model. The record is from RNAcentral.
CNCACAAGCGGUGGAGCAUGUGGUUUAAUUCGAUGCAACGCGAAAAACCUUACCACUCCUUGACAUGGAAAUUAUACCUAUUCGAAGGGAUAGGGUCGGUUCGGCCGGGUUUCACACAGGUGUUGCAUGGCUGUCGUCAGCUCGUGUCGUGAGAUGUUGGGUUAAGUCCCGCAACGAGCGCAACCCUCAUCCUUAGUUACCAUCAGGUAAUGCUGGGGACUUUAAGGAGACUGCCAGUGAUAAACUGGAGGAAGGUGGGGAUGAUGUCAAGUCAUCAUGGCCCUUAUGGAGUGGGCUACACACGUGCUACAAUGGUGGCUACAAUGGGCUGCAAAGUCGCGAGGCUAAGCCAAUCCCUUAAAAGCCAUCUCAGUUCGGAUUGUACUCUGCAGCUCGAGUGCAUGAAGUUGGAAUCGCUAGUAAUCGUGGAUCAGCACGCCACGGUGAAUACGUUCUCGGGUCUUGUACACACUGCCCGUCACGCCAUGGGAAUUGGUUUCACUCGAAGCUAACGACCUAACCGCAAGGAGGGAGUUAUUUAAAGUGGGAUCGGUGACUGGGGUG